RNAcentral lists this ribosomal RNA (1165 nucleotides) under Lactiplantibacillus plantarum. RNAcentral describes it as "Lactobacillus plantarum partial 23S ribosomal RNA". It matches the Rfam family "Bacterial large subunit ribosomal RNA", at positions 1 to 1157 of the family's 2925-position model. Lineage: Bacteria; Bacillati; Bacillota; Bacilli; Lactobacillales; Lactobacillaceae. The record is from RNAcentral.
UGAGGUUAAGUUAACAAGGGCGCAUGGUGAAUGCCUUGGCACUAGGAGCCGAUGAAGGACGGGACUAACACCGAUAUGCUUCGGGGAGCUGUACGUAAGCUAUGAUCCGGAGAUUUCCGAAUGGGGCAACCCAGCAGUUUUAAUCAACUGUUACCACUAGAUGAAUUCAUAGUCUAGUUGGAGGUAAACGCUGUGAACUGAAACAUCUCAUUAGCAGCAGGAAUAUAAAGAAAUUUCGAUUCCCUAAGUAGCGGCGAGCGAACGGGGAACAGCCCAAACCAAAGUGCUUGCACUUUGGGGUUGUAGGACUGAACAUUUGAGUUACCAAAGAACUUGAUAGUCGAAGGAUUUGGGAAAAUCCGCCAUAGAUGGUGAUAGCCCAGUAGAUUAAAUCAAAUUCUCUCAGUUCAGGAUCCUGAGUACGGCGGAACACGUGAAAUUCCGUCGGAAUCCGGGAGGACCAUCUCCCAAGGCUAAAUACUACCUAGUGACCGAUAGUGAACCAGUACCGUGAGGGAAAGGUGAAAAGCACCCCGGGAGGGGAGUGAAAUAGUUCCUGAAACCAUGUGCCUACAAUAAGUCAGAGCGCGUUAAUGCGUGAUGGCGUGCCUUUUGUAGAAUGAACCGGCGAGUUAUGAUCCCGUGCAAGGUUAAGACUAAAAAGUCGGAGCCGUAGCGAAAGCGAGUCUGAAAUGGGCGCUUUGAGUACGAGGUUAUAGACCCGAAACCAGGUGACCUAUCCAUGUCCAGGUUGAAGGUGCGGUAAAACGCACUGGAGGACCGAACCCGUGUAAGUUGAAAAUUGCUGGGAUGAGGUGUGGAUAGCGGUGAAAUUCCAAACGAACUUGGAGAUAGCUGGUUCUCUCCGAAAUAGCUUUAGGGCUAGCCUCGGAAUUAGGAUCAUGGAGGUAGAGCACUAUUUGGACUAGGGGCCCGUCUUGGGUUACUGAAUUCAGAUAAACUCCGAAUGCCAUUGAUUCAUAUCCGGGAGUCAGACGAUGAGUGAUAAGAUCCACCGUCGAAAGGGGAACAGCCCAGACCAUCAGUUAAGGUCCCUAAAUGUAUGCUAAGUGGAAAAGGAUGUGGAGUUGCAUAGACAACUAGGAUGUUGGCUCAGAAGCAGCCACCAUUUAAAGAGUGCGUAAUAGCUCACUAGUCGAGUGAU